CCAAAUUCCGCGCACGCAGCGGGGGUAGUACUGAGGGGGCAAGCGUUGGCCGGAAGCACUGGGCGUAAAGGGCGCGUAGGCGGCUACGGAAGGCACUGGUGAAAUGCCGGGGGUCAACGCCGGGGCCGCAGGUGAGACUGCGUGGCUAGAGCAUGGUAGAGGCGAGUGGAAUUCCCGGUGUAGCGGUGGAAUGCGUAGAUAUCGGGAAGAACACCGGUGGCGAAGGCGGCUCGCUGGGCCAUUGCUGACGCUGAGGCGCGAAAGCGUGGGGAGCAAACAGGAUUAGAUACCCCGGUAGUC
This 300-nucleotide ribosomal RNA is filed under the name uncultured Methanopyrus sp. RNAcentral describes it as "bacterial SSU rRNA". It matches the Rfam family "Bacterial small subunit ribosomal RNA", at positions 496 to 795 of the family's 1533-position model. The record is from RNAcentral. Lineage: Archaea; Methanobacteriati; Methanobacteriota; Methanopyri; Methanopyrales; Methanopyraceae.